CACUGAGACAGGUGCUGCAUGGCUGUCGUCAGCUCGUGUUGUGAGAUGUUGGGUUAAGUCCCGCAACGAGCGCAACCCUUAUCCUUAGUUGCCAGCACGUAAAGGUGGGAACGUCUGGGGAGACUGCCGGUGAUAAACCGGAGGAAGGUGGGGACGACGUCAAGUCAUCAUGGCCCUUACGGGAUGGGCUACACACGUGCUACAAUGGCGCGUACAAAGGGAAGCAAGCUAGCGAUAGUGAGCGGAUCUCAAAAAGCGCGUCGUAGUCCGGAUCGGAGUCUGCAACUCGACUCCGUGAAGUCGGAAUCGCUAGUAAUCGCGGAUCAGAAUGCCGCGGUGAAUACGUUCCCGGGCCUU
RNAcentral lists this ribosomal RNA (357 nucleotides) under uncultured Idiomarina sp. Its description in RNAcentral is "bacterial SSU rRNA". It matches the Rfam family "Bacterial small subunit ribosomal RNA", at positions 1027 to 1382 of the family's 1533-position model. Lineage: Bacteria; Pseudomonadati; Pseudomonadota; Gammaproteobacteria; Alteromonadales; Idiomarinaceae. The record is from RNAcentral.